Molecule: long non-coding RNA, 151 nt
Organism: Oncorhynchus keta (chum salmon)
Lineage: Eukaryota; Metazoa; Chordata; Actinopteri; Salmoniformes; Salmonidae
Exons: 4
Source: RefSeq, a predicted model, not a curated record
UCUAAACACUAUACAGUAGGUUGAGGUUGUCCCUCUCUAAACACUAUACAGUAGGUUGAGGUUGUCUCUCUCUAGUCUCUAAACACUAUACAGUAGGUUGAGGUUGUCCCUCUCUAGUCUCUAAACACUAUACAGUAGGUUGAGGUUGUCU